This 1893-nucleotide ribosomal RNA is filed under the name Hyphomonas sp. 34-62-18. Its description in RNAcentral is "bacterial LSU rRNA". It matches the Rfam family "Bacterial large subunit ribosomal RNA", at positions 1 to 2024 of the family's 2925-position model. The record is from RNAcentral. Lineage: Bacteria; Pseudomonadati; Pseudomonadota; Alphaproteobacteria; Hyphomonadales; Hyphomonadaceae.
UUAUGAGAUCAAGCGUCAAAAGGGCAUCCGGGGGAUGUCUUGGCGGUAAGAGGCGAUGAAAGACGUGGCACUCUGCGAUAAGCACCGGGGAGGCGAGAGCACCCUUUGAUCCGGUGAUUUCUGAAUGGGGAAACCCACCUCCGAGAUGUUGGAUAAUUCGAGCACUUCGGUGCUCGACAUGUCUGACAUUUCAAUAGUGAGGUAUUUUAAACUGAAUACAUAGGUUUAAAAAGCGAACCCGGGGAAUUGAAACAUCUGAGUACCCGGAGGAAAGGACAUCAAUUGAGACUCCGUUAGUAGUGGCGAGCGAACGCGGACCAGGCCUGGUCUGAAACAAGGAGAAGCAUCUGGGAAGGUGCGCCAUAGUGGGUGAUAGCCCCGUAUCCGUAAAAUGAAGACCUUUUAGAGUAGGGCGGGACACGUGAAAUCCUGUCUGAAAAUGGGGGGACCACCCUCCAAGCCUAAGUACUCCUUACCGACCGAUAGUGAACAAGUACCGUGAGGGAAUGAUGAAAAGAACCCCGAUGAGGGGAGUGAAACAGAUCCUGAAACCGGAUGCCUACAAGCUGAGGGAGCUCUUCGGAGUGACCUCGUACCUUUUGUAUAAUGGGUCAACGACUUAGUGUUGCGUGCAAGCUUAAGCCGUUAGGUGUAGGCACAGCGAAAGCGAGUCUGAAUAGGGCGACUGAGUACGUAGCAUUAGACCCGAAGGCAAGUGAUCUAGGUAUGGGCAGGCUGAAGGUGCGGUAACACGCACUGGAGGGCCGAACCGUUGAAUGUUGAAAAAUUCUCGGAUGACCUGUGCCUAGGGGUGAAAGGCCAAUCAAACUUGCUGAUAGCUGGUUCUCCGCGAAAUCUAUUUAGGUAGAGCGUCACGGUUGAGACUCCAGGGGGUAGAGCACUGAAUGGGCUAGGGGUCCUUACCGGAUUACCAAACCUUAUCAAACUCCGAAUACCUGGAAGUUAUACGUGGCAGACACACGGCGGGUGCUAACGUCCGUCGUGAAAAGGGAAACAACCCAGACCGCCGAUUAAGGCCCCCAAGUCAUAGCUAAGUGCGAAACGAUGUGGGAUUGCUGAGACAAUCAGGAGGUUGGCUUAGAAGCAGCCAUCCUUUAAAGAAAGCGUAACAGCUCACUGAUCAAGCGAUCCUGCGCGGAAAAUGUAUCGGGACUAAAGUUAUGCGCCGAAAUCGCGGGCUCGUAAGAGCGGUAGCGGAGCGUUCCGUAAGCCAAUGAAGGUGAACCGUGAGGUUUGCUGGAGGUAUCGGAAGUGAGAAUGUUGACAUGAGUAGCGACAAAGAGGGUGAGAGACCCUCUCGCCGAAAGUCCAAGGGUUCCUGCGUAAAGCUAAUCUGCGCAGGGUUAGCCGGCCCCUAAGGUCAGGCCGAAAGGCGUAGCCGAUGGGAACCACGUUAAUAUUCGUGGGCCGAGGGAUGAGUGACGGAUUCCGAAAGCUGUAUGAACUUACUGGAUUGUGAGUGCAGCCUGGGGGUCCCUGGAAAUAGCCUCCCUAUUAGACCGUACCCUAAACCGACACAGGUGGACUGGUAGAGCAUACCAAGGCGCUUGAGAGAACUAUGUUGAAGGAACUCGGCAAAUUACCUCCGUAACUUCGGGAGAAGGAGGCCUCAUAUUGGGCAACCAGUACUGAGGGGCACAAAACUGGGGGUUGCGACUGUUUAUCAAAAACACAGGGCUCUGCGAAAUCGCAAGAUGACGUAUAGGGUCUGACGCCUGCCCGGUGCCGGAAGGUUAAAAGGAGAUGUGCAAGCAUUGAAUUGAAGCCCCGGUGAACGGCGGCCGUAACUAUAACGGUCCUAAGGUAGCGAAAUUCCUUGUCGGGUAAGUUCCGACCUGCACGAAUGGCGUAACGACUUCCCCACUGUCUCCA